GUGCUCGCUUUGGCAGCACAUACACUAAAACUGGAAUGAUACAGAGAUUAUGGCCCCUGAGCAAGAAUGACACGCAAAUUCGUGAAUCGUUCCAUAUUUUU
This is a small nuclear RNA of Choloepus hoffmanni (Hoffmann's two-fingered sloth), 101 nucleotides long. Lineage: Eukaryota; Metazoa; Chordata; Mammalia; Pilosa; Megalonychidae. The record is from Ensembl.